This 254-nucleotide ribosomal RNA is filed under the name uncultured prokaryote. Its description in RNAcentral is "partial 16S ribosomal RNA". It matches the Rfam family "Bacterial small subunit ribosomal RNA", at positions 525 to 777 of the family's 1533-position model. The record is from RNAcentral.
ACGUAGGCAGCGAGCGUUGUUCGGAGUUACUGGGCGUAAAGGGUGUGUAGGCGGUUGGUUAAGUUUGGUGUGAAAUCUCCCGGCUCAACUGGGAGGGUGCGCCGAAUACUGAAUGACUUGGAGUGCGGGAGAGGAAAGUGGAAUUCCUGGUGUAGCGGUGAAAUGCGUAGAUAUCUGGAGGAACACCGGUGGCGAAGGCGGCAUCCUGGACCGGCAUUGACGCUGAGGCGCGAAAGCCAGGGGAGCAAACGGGA